GACGAACGCUGGCGGCGUGCUUAACACAUGCAAGUGGAGCGACGAACCGGGCUUCGGCCCGGGGCAAAGCCGCGAACGGGUGAGUAUCACGUGGGUAACCUGCCCCGAUGACCGGGACAACCCGAGGAAACUCGGGCUAAUACCGGAUGUGCUCCUCGCACAUCAGUGCAAGGAGUAAAGGAAGCUUCGGCCUCCGCAUUGGGAUGGGCCCGCGGCCCAUUAGCUUGUUGGUGAGGUAAAGGCUCACCAAGGCAACGAUGGGUAGCUGGUCUGAGAGGGGGAUCAGCCACACUGGGACUGAGACACGGCCCAGACUCCUACGGGAGGCAGCAGUGGGGAAUCUUGCGCAAUGCGCGAAAGCGUGACGCAGCAACGCCGCGUGAGGGAAGAAGGCUUUCGGGUUGUAAACUCCUGUCGAGCGGGAAGAACGCUUCCCGGGUGAAUAUCCCGGGGAAUUGACGGUACCGCUAAAGGAAGCCCCGUCUAACUCCGUGCCAGCAGCCGCCGUAA
Molecule: ribosomal RNA, 510 nt
Filed under: uncultured bacterium
Lineage: Bacteria
Description: partial 16S ribosomal RNA
Rfam family: Bacterial small subunit ribosomal RNA
Source: RNAcentral